This 71-nucleotide transfer RNA is filed under the name Ovis aries (sheep). RNAcentral describes it as "tRNA-Gly (GCC) (tRNA-Gly-GCC-4-1)". It matches the Rfam family "tRNA". Rfam says of the family: Transfer RNA (tRNA) molecules are approximately 80 nucleotides in length. Their secondary structure includes four short double-helical elements and three loops (D, anti-codon, and T loops). Lineage: Eukaryota; Metazoa; Chordata; Mammalia; Artiodactyla; Bovidae. The record is from Rfam by way of RNAcentral.
GCGUGGGUGGUUCGGUGGUAGAAUUCUCGCCUGCCACGCGGGAGGCCCGGGUUCGAUUCCCGGCCCAUGCA